ACACUCCUGCGGGAGGCAGCAGUGGGGAAUAUUGGACAAUGGGCGCAAGCCUGAUCCAGCCAUGCCGCGUGAGUGAUGAAGGCCCUAGGGUUGUAAAGCUCUUUCACCGGUGAAGAUAAUGACGGUAACCGGAGAAGAAGCCCCGGCUAACUUCGUGCCAGCAGCCGCGGUAAUACGAAGGGGGCUAGCGUUGUUCGGAUUUACUGGGCGUAAAGCGCACGUGGGCGGACUAUUAAGUCAGGGGUGAAAUCCCGGGGCUCAACCCCGGAACUGCCUUUGAUACUGGUAGUCUUGAGUUCGAGAGAGGUGAGUGGAAUUCCGAGUGUAGAGGUGAAAUUCGUAGAUAUUCGGAGGAACACCAGUGGCGAAGGCGGCUCACUGGCUCGAUACUGACGCUGAGGUGCGAAAGCGUGGGGAGCAAACAGGAUUAGAAACCCCAGUAGUCCCA
This 448-nucleotide ribosomal RNA is filed under the name uncultured organism. RNAcentral's name for it is "partial 16S ribosomal RNA". It matches the Rfam family "Bacterial small subunit ribosomal RNA", at positions 333 to 797 of the family's 1533-position model. The record is from RNAcentral.